UACGGAGGGGGCGAGCGUUAUUCGGAAUUAUUGGGCGUAAAGGGCGCGUAGGCGGCUUGACAAGUCAAAGGUGAAAUCCCUCGGCUCAACUGAGGAACUGCCUUUGAAACUGUCUGGCUUGAGGCCGGGAGGGGGUAGCGGAAUUCCCAGUGUAGCGGUGAAAUGCGCAGAUAUCAGGAGGAACACCGGUGGCGAAGGCGGGUCGCUGGGAUGAUGCUGACGCUGAGGCGCGAAAGCCAGGGGAGCAAACGGG
This 253-nucleotide ribosomal RNA is filed under the name uncultured bacterium. RNAcentral's name for it is "partial 16S ribosomal RNA". It matches the Rfam family "Bacterial small subunit ribosomal RNA", at positions 524 to 776 of the family's 1533-position model. The record is from RNAcentral.